UAGCUCAGUUGGUAAAGAAUCUGCCUGCAAUGCAGAAGACCCAGGUUUGAUUCCUGG
This 57-nucleotide transfer RNA is filed under the name Odocoileus virginianus texanus. It matches the Rfam family "tRNA", at positions 8 to 63 of the family's 71-position model. Rfam says of the family: Transfer RNA (tRNA) molecules are approximately 80 nucleotides in length. Their secondary structure includes four short double-helical elements and three loops (D, anti-codon, and T loops). Further hydrogen bonds mediate the characteristic L-shaped molecular structure. tRNAs have two regions of fundamental functional importance: the anti-codon, which is responsible for specific mRNA codon recognition, and the 3' end, to which the tRNAs corresponding amino acid is attached (by aminoacyl-tRNA synthetases). tRNAs cope with the degeneracy of the genetic code in two manners: having more than one tRNA (with a specific anti-codon) for a particular amino acid; and 'wobble' base-pairing, i.e. permitting non-standard base-pairing at the 3rd anti-codon position. RNAcentral also lists the same sequence under 4 other names. Lineage: Eukaryota; Metazoa; Chordata; Mammalia; Artiodactyla; Cervidae. The record is from Rfam by way of RNAcentral.